ACCAUUUUCCAAGGAAAGUAUACACAUGUGGUAAAUGCAACUAUUUUUCAGACAGAAAAAACAAUUACGUUCAGCACGUUCGAACUCAUACAGGAGAACGCCCAUAUAAAUGUGAACUUUGUCCUUAUUCAAGUUCUCAGAAGACUCAUCUAACUAGACAUAUGCGUACUCAUUCAGGUGAGAAGCCAUUUAAAUGUGAUCAAUGCAGUUAUGUGGCCUCUAAUCAACAUGAAGUAACUCGCCAUGCAAGACAGGUUCACAAUGGGCCU
RNAcentral lists this long non-coding RNA (269 nucleotides) under Marmota monax (woodchuck). The record is from RNAcentral. Lineage: Eukaryota; Metazoa; Chordata; Mammalia; Rodentia; Sciuridae.